Long non-coding RNA from Oryzias melastigma (Indian medaka), 829 nucleotides. RefSeq lists it as uncharacterized. The transcript is spliced from 2 exons. NCBI's taxonomy places the organism in Eukaryota, Metazoa, Chordata, Actinopteri, Beloniformes, Adrianichthyidae. The record is from RefSeq and is a predicted model, not a curated record.
GCAACAAUUAAGUUAUUUGUAGAAUGUGAUUGUGAUCACACAAUGUUAAUGUAGAGACUAUUCAGCUCAAUGCAGGAUUAUAUACAUGGUAACAAUCUUCAUGUAAUGUGAUAAUCAAAUCUUCCAUUAAUGCUGAUGCUGGCAGGUGUUUUAUUGUGGAGGAAGUGUCGGCAACAGGAAGAGAGGAGCAGUGAAGACAUGGGAUUCAGAGGAGGACCCCCCACACAUACACGCACUACUGCUGUCCCUUUUGUCUAAAUAAACUCUUAAUCAUUUAUUUCCUGCAUUUUUAUUGAACAUUUCAUAAUCCACUGUAACAUAACUCUAGCAGAUGAUUAUGACAUAACAUGAACAAAAACAGGAACCAAAGAUAUGGUCCAAGGAAACUAACAGCUCAGUCACUUUUGUCUCCUCCUUCAGAGGUCGCCUCAGCCAAUCAGCAUCAGCGCUUCACACAGGUGGUUUUUACGCCUUUAUAAUACUGACAUGGAACACCAGAUGUUCUAAAGUUUAUUCAUUUGAAUUACUAAAAAUGCUUAGUUCAACAUGAAAUUAGCAAAAAAGAAAACAAAGAAAAACUACAGAGAUUUCUAUUAAUCACAAACUUAAAAGAAUGGAGAGAAAAAAAGUUUCACCAAUUGUUCAAAUCAUUAUUUAUAAAUAUGUUUCAGUCUUUGAAAGGCAUGAAAUUCUCAGUUAUUAGAUUAAUUAUACGUUUUAAUUCCACAGAGAAAAUUGUCAAAUGUUUGUCAUUUGUAUAUUUACAUUUAUCAACACAAUAUUUGGCCAAAAUAAAAAAUAAGUUAAGAUUUUGUUGGUCUUCAAAGUC